RNAcentral lists this ribosomal RNA (253 nucleotides) under uncultured bacterium. Its description in RNAcentral is "partial 16S ribosomal RNA". It matches the Rfam family "Bacterial small subunit ribosomal RNA", at positions 524 to 776 of the family's 1533-position model. The record is from RNAcentral.
UACGUAGGGUGCGAGCGUUAAUCGGAAUUACUGGGCGUAAAGCGUGCGCAGGCGGUUCGCCAAGUCAGGUGUGAAAUCCCCGGGCUUAACCUGGGAAUUGCGCUUGAAACUAGCGGGCUUGAGUGUGGCAGAGGGGGGUGGAAUUCCACGUGUAGCAGUGAAAUGCGUAGAGAUGUGGAGGAGCACCGAUGGCGAAGGCAGCCCCCUGGGUCAACACUGACGCUCAUGCACGAAAGCGUGGGGAGCAAACAGG